Molecule: ribosomal RNA, 495 nt
Filed under: uncultured bacterium
Lineage: Bacteria
Description: partial 16S ribosomal RNA
Rfam family: Bacterial small subunit ribosomal RNA
Source: RNAcentral
GACGAACGCUGGCGGCGUGCCUAAUACAUGCAAGUAGAACGCUGAAGGAGGAGCUUGCUUCUCUGGAUGAGUUGCGAACGGGUGAGUAACGCGUAGGUAACCUGCCUGGUAGCGGGGGAUAACUAUUGGAAACGAUAGCUAAUACCGCAUAAUAUUGACUAUUGCAUGAUAGUCAGUUGAAAGGUGCUACUGCACCACUACCAGAUGGACCUGCGUUGUAUUAGCUAGUUGGUGGGGUAACGGCUCACCAAGGCGACGAUACAUAGCCGACCUGAGAGGGUGAUCGGCCACACUGGGACUGAGACACGGCCCAGACUCCUACGGGAGGCAGCAGUAGGGAAUCUUCGGCAAUGGACGGAAGUCUGACCGAGCAACGCCGCGUGAGUGAAGAAGGUUUUCGGAUCGUAAAGCUCUGUUGUAAGAGAAGAACGAGUGUGAGAGUGGAAAGCUCACACUGUGACGGUAUCUUACCAGAAAGGGACGGCUAACUACGUG